Long non-coding RNA from Gadus morhua (Atlantic cod), 1514 nucleotides. RefSeq lists it as uncharacterized. NCBI's taxonomy places the organism in Eukaryota, Metazoa, Chordata, Actinopteri, Gadiformes, Gadidae. The record is from RefSeq and is a predicted model, not a curated record. The transcript has 5 exons.
GUAAGGUCUUGCUUCCUAGUGGCUAUGUGAGGGUAAUACAGCUUGUGUGUUCGAUUCUGCUUCCUAGAGGCUAUGUGGGGGCAACGAGAGAGGGAGUUUUGAAGUCCAUGAUGAGACAGAGCGGGACUCGGGGAGUAAGGUCUCGCUGCAGCCUGUAGGACAUGGACAUCCAACGUCCAAGUGCUGUCCCGUGACGACAAGAUGGCGGACGCGUGAUGUGGCAGUGUAAGGGGUGUUCCGUUGCAGUAGCUAAUAAAUGCAGAAUUUAAGCGCAUUACCACCAUGCCCCUGCAAUCCAGAUUUCGGUCACAGCUGGAUGUACGAUCUGACAAACUUCUAAAGCUGUUCGAAAAACGAGGAGGACAGAUAGGCAAGCGUCUUGAGAGAACUUUGGCCCCCAUGACUCAAGACGAUGACGUUGAUGCAGGGCGGGAAUGUGUUCUCAAGUGGCUGUGUGUGUACCUCAACGAAGGCCCAGCAAAUCUUGUCAGGGAGUUUGUGGCAGAGAACGAAGCUGUCAUCAAAAUCGAUUGAGGACACCACGUGGGAAUAUUUGUCGUGAAAAAUGAUGCAACCAGUGGUCCAGAGGACGUGGGGAUUGUCCUGGAAGGCCUGCAGAUAAUGCAAGGACUGGACAACACUGCAUUAGCUGCUGCCAUAUUGUUUGGCCUAAUGUAUGUAUUGAACCUCAACUACCCUCCUGAGCUAAAGUACACGUUUGAAGUGCGCCAAAAACUUGUGAUGGAGCUGGACGGCACCACGCGCUCAAAGAAAGCCCAAGUUCUCAAAAACAGACUGAGUGAGCUGUUGUCCUUGGAUCUUUUUGCUCAUCGACUUGAUUCUGGACUGUUCACAUGCAACUUUGCUGUUCUUUGUUCUUGCAGUAUUUACAUACAGCAUGUCUACUGUAUUAUCAAAUGAAUGUUUUUUUCUGGAGCUCAUGCGUUCCCAAAAUGUGACUCGGAUUUGCUGUUUUCUCUUAAAGUAAUAGAGCUGCUGAAUGAGCUGUUGCCAUGGACCAUGUUUGCUCUGUGAAUGCACUUGUCUCUUGACAUGCACUCAUGCAGCUUUAGUUUUUCCUGUAUUAUUUUUGCAGUAUUUAGAUUCUUGGAAGAUUUACAUUUGUUGUAGGAUUAAUGAUGUUUGUCCAGGUCUACUGAUGGUCUACUCAUUGUUUGUUGUGCGGUGAUUCAUUCAAAACACUGGGAGUACUUUUUUAUUUUAUUAUUUAAUUACACUUUUAUGCAAAGUAAAAAAAAACAUAAUGCAACCUAACAUGUUGUUUUGGGAUUUCAGUGUUAAAAAUGUCUGUUUUCAAAAAGAUUGUUAAUUUGGCACAAUUGUCAGAUUGUAGCAGUUGUGGAUGUUUACUGUUUUCUCCUGAUUGGGUCCUGCUGUACUGCGUACAAAUUGCAUGUCCAAACUAUUGCUAUUUGAAGGUGGAGUCAGCGAUUAAGGGGAAUUAUUGUUGUAAAAAAAAAGUGAAUAUCUCUUUAUGAUCCGCUACCUGUCCG